UAAUACAGAGGGUGCAAGCGUUAAUCGGAAUGACUGGGCGUAAAGGGCUUGUAGGCGGAUAGAUAAGUUAUAGGUGAAAUCCUCGGGCUUAACCUGAGAAGGUCCUGUAAAACUGGCUAUCUGGAAUAGAGUAGAGGUAAGUGGAAUUUCCGGUGUAGCGGUGAAAUGCGUAGAUAUCGGAAAGAACAUCAGUGGCGAAGGCGACUUACUGGACUCAUAUUGACGCUGAGAAGCGAAAGCGUGGGGAGCAAACAGG
RNAcentral lists this ribosomal RNA (256 nucleotides) under uncultured bacterium. RNAcentral's name for it is "partial 16S ribosomal RNA". It matches the Rfam family "Bacterial small subunit ribosomal RNA", at positions 521 to 776 of the family's 1533-position model. The record is from RNAcentral.